UUCCAAUCAGCGGGGAGAGUACCGGUAUGUGGUGGACUAACAUUGUAAAAUUUCCCUCAGCUCCAGGGCGUAAAUGAACCUUCGGACCAAUGAACCUUCGGACUAUCGAGACGCCCCCAAAUGGAGAAGAAAAGCUAUGUGCUUGCAGCACUAUUUCUAUCCGGCAACCAAAGGAACUUCUUGAGAACUAUGUAUGAGUGGGUCACUCGUAGUGGACAGUGGUCAACAAGUCAGGAAGACAGCAGUAGGGACACUCAGAAUUUUUGCACAUUUCUUGUGGAAGAAGUGAGCAAGGACCAGAACUUGUGGGUGGUUACUGAGAGACUGGACGCCAUCGGUGAUCAUCUGUACCUGUUGUCAUGGAGAUCAGGAUGACAGACAUACUCCAGACCAUAUGAUACCACAGCUGACAGCUGAGAUUCAUCAACAGAAAAGCAGCCUGGGAGCCCACCUUCCUAUCAUCAUGACGGCAAGGACAAAUCUGGUUCAGUUCAUCAAAUACAAGUCUUGACCAGUAGAUUAACUUGGACCCCUCCAUACCUAGAUUGAUCUAGCAGGGUUGACCCAUUUCCGAGGGAAUUCUCACUAAAUUUGAGUUCAGAUUAAGCAGCUUAAAAGUCUGGCACACCUACUGAACUUUAUGUCAAUUGAAAUCAAGUGAUGUCCAGUGCGUUUAAUUCUUAAAAAUAAAAGAUAAUAUACAUAUCUUAAAGUUUGAUGUUGUGAAAAACUCGAAAAACUGGAUUAGGAAGAAAACGAAGCCAAUGUUCAGAUUUAUGCAUCGGGUAUUAUUCUCGGAAAUGAUGAGAAGGAAAUAAAUCUGCUAAUUUCUCUGGUAAAAUGAUACAUUUACAGAAAAUAAAAAAAUGGAGGGCAUCCGUAAUCCAAGGACAUCGAAUUUUUUCUGAACUGAAAAAUAAUGCUUUGCUUGUCUUUAUAUGUAUUUAUUUUAUACAGUAGUUACAUGUAGCAUGCAAUAAAGUGACAUGGUAGAACGAAUAUACGGAUAUGUAUGUAUGCAUAUGUUUUUGAGAAAUGUGUAUGUGAGAAGUGAUUUGUAUUGUAUUGUACAUUGUAAUGUUUAUUUUCAGUCUAAUUAAAGAAAAUAUACAUACAAUUUUUAGAGAACGUACGCAUCUGAUUCUAUUUCGAAAUAUUUAUAUACAUUUUUAAUAAUCCUUACAUAGAAUACUUUGAUCAUAUGUUACUGAACAUGUCAAACUACUGUCUCUAAGUGGGUUAUUAAACUCAUCGCUGUAAGUAGCAGGCCUAGGGGAACGAGAUGUGUAAUUUAAAUGAAUCUGCAGAUUGUUACUUUUCAUGAAAUUUGUAUUUGCAACUUAUUCGAAAUGUUUGCACACACUUGUAGAAAAGUGUAUGGCUACCAGGGUGGUAUUAUUGGGAAGUGGGUCGAUAGUAUAUAGAGGCCCAUCUCGGCAUGCCUAUAGCUUGUAUUAAGUGCACGCCUCUGUAGUUUAGGGGUACAGUCGUCGCCUGCUUUGCGGAUUAGAUUCCCGACACAUUUGGAAAACAUGAGAUGAGUUUUGUCUUGAGAAAUGUACUAUGCUUUACAUCAUCUACUUUCCAGG
Long non-coding RNA from Lingula anatina, 1589 nucleotides. NCBI's taxonomy places the organism in Eukaryota, Metazoa, Brachiopoda, Lingulata, Lingulida, Lingulidae. The record is from RefSeq and is a predicted model, not a curated record.